AAUUCACACAGAUGACCAUCGACCGUGAAGCACUGUGAUGCUUUCAUUUCGAGUUCCGUAGAGUAAGACACAGUCGACGUGUUUUCCUUUUGCAAAUUUCAGAGCAAGAUAUCCUGUGACAGUCUGAUUAUUUUGGGGCUAUAGGUUGGUUAUUAGGUCGGGUAAGAAGUUUUCUCGUUCAUUUUAGAGAACUUCGGAUCCAAUUUUCGCGGAAGCGAAACUUCAUUAAGCAAAUGGAGGGCUCGUAAGAAAACGAGCCACGUUACAUCUUUUGGCUUCUUUCAUAAUGUCAUUUAGUCGUCGUUUUGUUAAAAAACGAGACUCGCAACAUGGAGGAAUCUAUAAUAUAAAAAAUGAUCGGUAUUUUGACUUAUUUGUAAAUAUGUACUGGGGAAUUUCGUAAUAUUCGUGAAUCGACACGAGAAAUUCUCCCGUCUCGCUUGUUAUCAGCUAUCGACAACGAUACGCGUACAUGUGUUAUAUAAGUAUGUACUCUCUCGAAAAAUAAUUGAAGUUGAGAAAGCCUGACGCAACGCAACGAUGCGUACCAAGUUCGUUUCAAGGUGCGAACAAGUUCUCCCUUUGACAUUACAUCCCCUAAGAAAGUAACACGAUUUCAUUCGUCUGUUUUUCUUUUUUUUUUUUUUUUGGAAACUAAAGAAAAACUAACAAGACCUCGGGUUGACCCAAUAACAUUCGAAUCCUCCCACUAACGUUAUUCAGCAUUGCAGAAAAAGGUCGCUCGAAGGAAAAGUAUAGAAGAUCUCCUACGGGUAUUUCAUUUAUUUAAUAAAGUUAUCUGUAAUAUAUUUUACAAGGUUACGUCGCCUGACAAAGGAAUUUAUCGCUAUUUUCGAAUAGAAUUAAAAGAAAGGCUUCCCCACAAACUCGAUAGUUUAAAGGGAAAAAUCCUAAAGAGUUCGAUUGCAGAUCUAUCGUACAAUUGAAUUUCGCUUCAUCGUGUUACGAGCAGCUAGCGGUUAAAAAAAGAAACAAAUAUCCCGCGACUAUUCUAUUCGCUACUAGGAAAAACUCGAUACGAGUGAAACGAGCAGCCUUCCGUCAAAUUUGUGACGAAUGUUAAUCCAAUUUCGAGCGAACGUCACUGUUGAACGAUUAACGCAGUAUGCGUUUAAUCGAAUUCCCGAUUAGGUGCAUAGAUACUUCUAUUGAAAAUAGCUUCGUUCGAUUGUUUCAAAUUCAAUUAACGUAUAUAUACGUCAUUACAUAGGUGACUGCGAUAAUUCGUGGAAUCAUGUGAAAUUAAUUUUCGUCGUCCAAGCUAUUCAAAGUAUCAUAUAUUGAAAAAGUGUAUGCUGGAUUUUCUUGAAAUAUUCAAAUGACAGAAAAUAACGUGAUAUUUUAUUUACGAGACAAAUUAACACGAAUAAUUUAAAGAUGGCACGUUAGCUAGGACAUUUUAAUUAAAGAGUAUUGUAUAGCACUGUGUCAUCAUCAAACGCCAUAACGCCUGUUGACAACUAGCAAAGGUUAUUCAAAGUAGUGGCACGAAAACCCAUUCAUAAAUUAAUUCAUUGCAAAGUUAACGUCGGCUAAUAAAAUAAUACCGGCGCUUCUAUACACAAAAUAAUUAAAAAUCGUUUAUUCUCCUCAGAUCUCAAAUGUCAAGUGUCCGAUGUAAAGACCUACUCGCAAUCAUCAAUAUGCAUAAAUAUAUCCGCUAUUAUACUUAUUUCCUGACAAUUGAGUGAAAGCGAAACUGUUUACUAACUAUAUCUGUAACUAUAUAUAUUUACUAACUCCAUAUAUAACUGUUUAUUAACUAUAUAAUCAAACAACUCGAUUCGUAAGAUAAUUAAAAAAUAUCUACUUACAGAACACAGAUACUGUAACCAAAAAGCCUUAACAUCAACCUAUACUCCACAAUCGAUAUACAAAAUACAAUCGUUUCAUUUCUCAAUGUUUCUCAAACAUCAGCUACGAAACAAAAACUACCUGCACAUGGUAGCAGCGGGCCUGCGCGUUUCCAUAGUUCGUUGCACGAAGCGGGAGAAAAUCGGUUCCUAGAAUCUAUCUCACAGCGACGACGCCAAGACUACGCGAACGAAAGGAGGAAUUUCGAAAGUGUGGCAGCCGACGAAGGACCUUGAGGAUCCCUCGUCGAGGAUCCCUUCGACCGUUACCAGGGACAGCUGUCUGCGAGCAAUGCCGCGAACCAGCAUAAAGUGCGGCUUGGUCGACGAUUCACGACGCGGAUGACGCCAUUCCCUACCUUCUAGCGUUUCUUCCUACACCACAUGAAGCCCCGUUCACACGGUACCUCGACCUCCAGGCUUCCUAGGCUGCAUCCUCCCGAACCAAUUGCCACCAGGUCAGGGAUGAAAAGAACGUUCCCCGAGUUUAAAUCCCCUAAGGAUUCUACAGUUUGAUUUUCUGAGUUUUCCUAGAUAUAAACGUCUGAAGUAAAAAUGAUAUUUAAUGCUGUUUUUGUGUUGUUAGAUGGCAAGGACUAUCAGCGUGAAGGCAGAAAUACCUAAUAAUAGAAUGCACGAAUGACAAACACAAAGCGAAGAUAGUCGCUAGAGACUAGAUUUUGUUGCAGAAACAUCUAAAGUUUGACAACUGGAAUUGAUAUAUAAGUUAUUCGGAUAUUAAACUCAUCAACUUUGUUUUAUGGAACGUCCGUUAACUUUACUGCCAAAGUACACGAGUAGUGUUUAGCGUUUGGAUAAAAAUAGGUUUUGUUAUAACUGGAGUACAAAUUUCUAUGCAUUUAUGGGAAAUUCAAAGAUGCAGAAAAAUGCAUAGAGCGCAAACAAUACGCAGGAAUAUGUAAAAUAACCAAAGCCACAGGAUGUGAUCUUAGAAAGGAAACUGGCAAUCAUUGGACGACGGGACACCGAACGAACUCUCAUACCGAAAAAUAUGUCAGAACACGUGUUGGCGAAGCCCCAGAACAUCUUCGAACCGAAUCCUUAGGAUCUUGUAGUUCAAUGCGCCUCGAAUGCGUCACGAUAUGUUGCGCGUGAAAAGUUUCUCAGCUGCGAGUUGCCGGUCGUGAAACAGGCAGAAAUUCACGAUCUUCAUUGAGCAUCGAAUGAAAAACGUCCUGACGUUUUCCGCGAAUAACGGGC
This is a long non-coding RNA of Bombus terrestris (buff-tailed bumblebee), 3095 nucleotides long. RefSeq lists it as uncharacterized. The record is from RefSeq and is a predicted model, not a curated record. Lineage: Eukaryota; Metazoa; Arthropoda; Insecta; Hymenoptera; Apidae. The transcript has 3 exons.